UCGCGGGUCCCAUGCGACGGCGACUCGCUAACCUGGUCAGGUACGGAAGUAAGCAGCCAUACGCUAAGAAACCGUGCGCCGUGGGUUCACCUGCGGGCC
Molecule: signal recognition particle RNA, 99 nt
Filed under: Lentisphaeria bacterium
Lineage: Bacteria; Pseudomonadati; Lentisphaerota; Lentisphaeria
Description: signal recognition particle sRNA small type
Rfam family: Bacterial small signal recognition particle RNA
About the family: The signal recognition particle (SRP) is a universally conserved ribonucleoprotein involved in the co-translational targeting of proteins to membranes. Archaeal SRP consists of a 7S RNA and homologues of the eukaryotic SRP19 and SRP54 proteins. In most bacteria, the SRP consists of a 4.5S RNA and the Ffh protein (a homologue of the eukaryotic SRP54 protein).
Source: RNAcentral